This is a long non-coding RNA of Mesocricetus auratus (golden hamster), 711 nucleotides long. RefSeq lists it as uncharacterized. Lineage: Eukaryota; Metazoa; Chordata; Mammalia; Rodentia; Cricetidae. The transcript is spliced from 4 exons. The record is from RefSeq and is a predicted model, not a curated record.
GGGGCGAGGCUUGGGUAGAGAUGCCCUUAGGAGUUACAUGCAGACCAAGUGAAUACGUUUCUGCAUUGACCAGGACUACUUAAGGACAGCACAAAGUGAAUGCAGCUUGAUAAUGCUUCCGACUCCGACACCACGACACGAUACCCUUCUUGAGCAAGACCCACUAGAUACCCAAGACUGCUGUUGUGCCUGUCCAAAACGUCCCUGAGGAGGAGUCCAGGCACCCGAUCUGAGAUUGAAGAGGGUUCCGCAUGCCAGGAGUUCAGCAGUGAAGAAGAGAGAAGGGUCCUGCACACCCGGAGUCUCUAAUCGAGCAGGGAGACAGAUGGGGAAGGAGUAAUUAGCAGAGUGAUGGGGCUGCAAAUGAGAAGUCUGGUGCUUUGGGAGCCUCCGAUGUGCCGAGGGAGAGAAGCCAUGAGCCAAGGUGGAGGGGGUGAGAAGUAGGAAUGCCCUCACCACGGAGGUUCUGCCCACCAUUUCCUCCCAGGAUGCCUGCAUGCCACACCAGAAUCCACACACUAGGACUCCACGUACAAAGCUGCAGCUUUCUCUGUUAGGCAUGGCGGAGGGGCUGAGGCAAAUGGUCAACUGCUCUCAGCCCUUUCCAGCAGGGCUUUCUCCCACCUUCCUUUUCAUUUGUCACAGCUUUCUUCCAUCGCCAGCUGGGUGACAACUUGGAACAACAAUAAAAAAAAUCCUUUCCAAAGUAAA